RNAcentral lists this ribosomal RNA (253 nucleotides) under uncultured bacterium. Its description in RNAcentral is "partial 16S ribosomal RNA". It matches the Rfam family "Bacterial small subunit ribosomal RNA", at positions 524 to 776 of the family's 1533-position model. The record is from RNAcentral.
UACGGAGGAUGCGAGCGUUAUCCGGAUUUAUUGGGUUUAAAGGGUGCGUAGGCGGAUGAGUAAGUCAGUGGUGAAAGCCUGCAGCUUAACUGUAGAAUUGCCAUUGAUACUGCUUGUCUUGAGGAUAGUUGAGGUGGGCGGAAUAUGACAUGUAGCGGUGAAAUGCUUAGAUAUGUCAUAGAACACCGAUUGCGAAGGCAGCUCACUAAGCUAUAUCUGACGCUGAGGCACGAAAGCGUGGGGAGCGAGCAGG